RNAcentral lists this ribosomal RNA (1335 nucleotides) under uncultured bacterium. RNAcentral describes it as "partial 16S ribosomal RNA". It matches the Rfam family "Bacterial small subunit ribosomal RNA", at positions 1 to 1353 of the family's 1533-position model. The record is from RNAcentral.
GAAUUCGCCCUUAGAGUUUGAUCCUGGCUCAGGACGAAAGCUGGCGGCAUGCCUAACACAUGCAAGUCGAACGGAAAGUAGCAAUAUUUUCAGUGGCGAACGGGUGAGUAACACUUGAGCAACCUACCUUGUACUUUGGAAUAACUCCUAGAAAUGGGUGCUAAUACCGAAUAAGACCACGAAGAGGCAUCUCUUCGGGGUCAAAGCUCCGGCGGUACAAGAUGGGCUCGAGUCCAAUUAGCUAGAUGGUGAGAUAACAGCCCACCAUGGCAACGAUUGGUAGCCGGCCUGAGAGGGUGAUCGGCCACACUGGAACUGAGACACGGUCCAGACUCCUACGGGAGGCAGCAGUGGGGAAUAUUGGGCAAUGGGCGAAAGCCUUACCCAGCAAUGCCGCGUGUAUGAAGAAGGUCUUCGGAUUGUAAAGUACUAUAUUGGGGAAGAACACAAUGACGGUACCCAAGAGAAAAAGCCCCGGCUAACUAUGUGCCAGCAGCCGCGGUAAUACAUAGGGGGCUAGCUUUGUUCGGAAUUACUGGGCGUAAAGGGUGCGUAGGUGGCAAUGUAUGUUGGAAGUGUAAUCCCUCGGGCUUAACUCAGGGGCUGCUUCCAAAACUGCAUUACUUGAGUGUCGGAGAGGAAAACGGAAUUCCUAGUGUAGCGGUGAAAUGCUCAGAUAUUAGGAGGAACACCAGAGGCGAAGGCGGUUUUCUGGACGACAACUGACGCUGAGGCACGAAAGCGUGGGGAGCGAUUGGGAUUAGAUACCCCAGUAGUCCACGCCGUAAAUGAUGGGUACUUGAUGUUGGGAGUAUCAACUCUUCCAGUGUCGUAGCAAACGCGAUAAGUACCCCGCCUGGGGAGUACGGCCGCAAGGUUGAAACUCAAAGGAAUUGACGGGGGCCCGCACAAGCGGAGGAACAUGUGGUUUAAUUCGAUGAUACGCGAGGAACCUUACCUGGGCUUAAAUGUAUAGUGCAUAAUAUGGAAACAUAUUUUUCCUUCGGGACUCUUUACAAGGUGCUGCAUGGUUGUCGUCAGCUCGUGCCGUGAGGUGUCGGGUUAAGUCCCAUAACGAGCGCAACCCUCAUCGCCAGUUGCCAGCAUGUAAUGAUGGGGACUCUGGUGAAACUGCCGGUGUAAACCGUGAGGAAGGUGGGGAUGACGUCAAAUCAGCACGGCCCCUAUGUCCAGGGCUACACACGUGUUACAAUGGCCAAUACAAAGGGCAGCCACCCGGCGACGGGGUGCUAAUCCAUAAAGAUGGUCUUAGUUCGGAUCGGAGUGUGCAACUCGACUCCGUGAAGCUGGAUUCGCUAGUAAUCGUAGAUCAGC